CGGCAGGGCCCCGGGAACCGGUCUUUGGCAGCCCCGUCUGCGCAUGUGCAGACUUCCUCCUUGUUCCUUACUCCUGUCUCUGAUCAGCGUGGAGCCUCCGCGUCUACGCGUAACUCAGCGACCAGGUGCUGCACUAACGAUGCGCUCCGCAGCCAGGGUCACCCUGCUCCUGUGAGGAGGGGACGCCAGAAGCAGGAAUCUCGCCUGGGAGGUUCCCACCCUCUGAUAAAACGCACACAGCUGCACCAAGGACGUCUGGGAAAACAGGCAAGUCUGUAAGCGCUUGCUCUUGAAGCAAUUCCCGAUUCUUCCGCCCUGAAUAACUCAUCAUGUCGGAGGUUGCCAAGAACCGUCGGUCAACGAAGGUGUGGGCCAGCUGUCACAGGACAGAGGUGAGCUGGGCUGAGGAUGGCGAGCUGGACUGAGGAUGGUGGGCAGGAGGCCGGCUGCGGGGGAGGAGGAACUCCCAGGUGAGUACCUGGUGCGCAUGACGGGGAAGAUACUAUCACCACUCCUCUCGGAAACUCCUCCCAUGCCCCUAAUUCUUCAACCCCUCUUCCUAGAUUUCUGCAGAGCCCUCAAACCCCACCCAUCUCCACAUCUGGAAUUUAGGGACAUGCUACCCACUACCUACUCUUGACUUUAUAGGAGUACGGGGAAGCUUUUCAGCGGUUAUGUAAUUGUGCCUCAUUUUAAAAGUGAAAAAUAUUAACACAGUGCUCAAGUGAAUGGAUCUGGGGCCGGAUUGCCCGGGUUCAAAGCCCAGCUCCACCACAUUGCUCAGUCUUCCCCUCGCUUUCCUAUUCUAUGAAAUGGAAGUCAUAAUAGUAGCUAUGCUUGGCUUUAUUUUAAAGGUUAAAUGAAGGAAGACAUACAAAGUAC
RNAcentral lists this long non-coding RNA (882 nucleotides) under Homo sapiens (human). RNAcentral's name for it is "non-protein coding lnc-ELMO2-40:3". The record is from RNAcentral. Lineage: Eukaryota; Metazoa; Chordata; Mammalia; Primates; Hominidae.